GAUGAACGCUGGCGGCGUGCCUAAUACAUGCAAGUCGAGCGAACGGACGAGAAGCUUGCUUCUCUGAUGUUAGCGGCGGACGGGUGAGUAACACGUGGAUAACCUACCUAUAAGACUGGGAUAACUUCGGGAAACCGGAGCUAAUACCGGAUAAUAUUUUGAACCGCAUGGUUCAAAAGUGAAAGACGGUCUUGCUGUCACUUAUAGAUGGAUCCGCGCUGCAUUAGCUAGUUGGUAAGGUAACGGCUUACCAAGGCAACGAUGCAUAGCCGACCUGAGAGGGUGAUCGGCCACACUGGAACUGAGACACGGUUCAGACUCCUACGGGAGGCAGCAGUAGGGAAUCUUCCGCAAUGGGCGAAAGCCUGACGGAGCAACGCCGCGUGAGUGAUGAAGGUCUUCGGAUCGUAAAACUCUGUUAUUAGGGAAGAACAUAUGUGUAAGUAACUGUGCACAUCUUGACGGUACCUAAUCAGAAAGCCACGGCUAACUACGU
Molecule: ribosomal RNA, 496 nt
Filed under: uncultured bacterium
Lineage: Bacteria
Description: partial 16S ribosomal RNA
Rfam family: Bacterial small subunit ribosomal RNA
Source: RNAcentral